CAGCCACCACCAAACACAGCACAGACCAGAAGCUAAACCCUCACACCUUAAGAGCUGGAGUUGGCAUUGUACUGAGACAUCUGGGCUAUAACCCAGCACUGCCACACCAAGUCAAUUUGCCAUGAGAAGCAUGUGUUGAUACCAGAGUGAGGUGAAAAUACAUCCAGUGCUGGCUUGGCAUAGGUUCUUCUACACCUCACAAUGCACUGAGUUCCAUGGCUCUGUGCGCUGACAGAGGAUGCUGGGGACAAGACUGUAACAAUCCAAAAGAUGAAACGUGUCCAGUCUCUCAAGUCACAGCUGCUCUACUUGGGACCGUGCUACAAAUCACACAGUGUUGCUGAUUCAUCCCACUCCCACUAGCACAUGUAACUACUGAUGUCAGCAUUUAGACUCUGGAUUUUACCCCAAAACCAUGCAAAAUUUGGGAUUCCUAACAUUAAUUGACUGGAGUUGAGUUUGACCACAUGAGCUUGAUCUUGAUGUUUGGUUUGUUCACAUCUGAAAUUCAAAGUCAAAAUUAUCAAGGAAUGGGAGCUCAUGUGGAUGAAACCCAAAACAAAUGUUUGUAGGAACCUCUGAGAAAUGGAAAAAAGGGACAGACUGUCCACUCAUUCAGACACCACCAGCAGUCAAUGGAGAAGAACAUCGAUGAGUCAUAUGAGGUGUAACCUACAUGAUUUGCGAGGAGGACCUUGUGCUGAUCUGCUCAGAGACAACCAUCAAGGAGUAAAGAGUUUCACAACACAGACCAUUUUUUUAUUAAAUUCCACUAUUUCAUUUUAGUGACAUAAAUAAAUGCUUUGUGAAAGGAAAA
This is a long non-coding RNA of Pseudopipra pipra, 817 nucleotides long. RefSeq lists it as uncharacterized. The transcript has 5 exons. The record is from RefSeq and is a predicted model, not a curated record. Lineage: Eukaryota; Metazoa; Chordata; Aves; Passeriformes; Pipridae.